This 491-nucleotide long non-coding RNA is filed under the name Sorghum bicolor (sorghum). Its description in RNAcentral is "long non-coding RNA (SBIC_LNC007579)". The record is from RNAcentral. Lineage: Eukaryota; Viridiplantae; Streptophyta; Magnoliopsida; Poales; Poaceae.
CUGCCUCAUUAAAAACCUUUCUAGGUAAAAAUCACCCUUGUGAGAAACCAAAGGGAAAAAGAGUACAACCAAAAGCUCUUAGUUUUAGAUUUUUAGUGUCAUUAGAGUGGCAAAUUUCACAUAAGUUACAAGAAUAGUUUCACAGUUCACACUCCUACUUCUCCAAGUCCUAGAUACUAAAUGACUUCACAAAAGUGCCGUUGCCUUCAUGGAAUAUAAUCACCACCUCCACCAGAAUCAGCAGCAGAACAGCCACAGCCACUGCCUUCAACAAAAGAUGUAAGGAUACAUAUGUUUGAUAGAAUCUAAACAGGAAUUAUAUAAGCCUUUCAUUACCUCUCCAGUUGUUGACUUGUUGUCUUCGUCUUCCAUCAAGUACCAGCAGUGGUAGAGCCGCUGCCGGUGCCGGUUAUGAGCAUGUUUAAUGUAAUCUUCCUAGGCUUGUGUAUCACCAAUGCCUAGGGGAAGGUCUAGCUUAGCUAUCAGCCUGC